AGCUUUGCUCAGUGGCAGUAUCAUAGUCAAUGAGGUUUAUCCAAGGUGUGAUUAUUGCCAAAUGAAGAUAAGUUUAUUUUGCCACAC
This 87-nucleotide small nuclear RNA is filed under the name Ochotona princeps (American pika). RNAcentral's name for it is "U4 spliceosomal RNA (ENSOPRG00000024180.1)". Lineage: Eukaryota; Metazoa; Chordata; Mammalia; Lagomorpha; Ochotonidae. The record is from RNAcentral.